Molecule: long non-coding RNA, 218 nt
Filed under: Capsella rubella
Lineage: Eukaryota; Viridiplantae; Streptophyta; Magnoliopsida; Brassicales; Brassicaceae
Description: long non-coding RNA (CRUB_LNC000215)
Source: RNAcentral
AAGUCGAGGAUAAUAAAAAUGACCGAAAGAACUAAGAGCUAUUACGCAAAGUCGGGAAUUAUAAAGACGGACCGAAAGAACUUAAGAGCUAAUACACAAAGUCGGGGAUCAUAAAAACGGACCGAAAUAACUUAGAGCUAAUAUGCAAAGUUAGGGAUCAUAAAAACAGACAGAAAGAACUUAGAGCUAAUACGCAAAGUCGGGGAUCAUAAAAACGG